This 492-nucleotide ribosomal RNA is filed under the name uncultured bacterium. RNAcentral describes it as "partial 16S ribosomal RNA". It matches the Rfam family "Bacterial small subunit ribosomal RNA", at positions 29 to 507 of the family's 1533-position model. The record is from RNAcentral.
AGUGAACGCUGGCGGUAGGCCUAACACAUGCAAGUCGAACGGCAGCACAGUAAGAGCUUGCUCUUACGGGUGGCGAGUGGCGGACGGGUGAGGAAUACAUCGGAAUCUACUUUUUCGUGGGGGAUAACGCAGGGAAACUUACGCUAAUACCGCAUACGACCUACGGGUGAAAGCAGGCGUUCUUCGGACCUUGCGCGAUUGAAUGAGCCGAUGUCGGAUUAGCUAGUUGGCGGGGUAAAGGCCCACCAAGGCGACGAUCCGUAGCUGGUCUGAGAGGAUGAUCAGCCAGACUGGAACUGAGACACGGUACAGACUCCUACGGGAGGCAGCAGUGGGGAAUAUUGGACAAUGGGCGCAAGCCUGAUCCAGCAAUACCGCGUGAGUGAAGAAGGCCUUCGGGUUGUAAAGCCCUUUUGUUGGGAAGGAAAAGCAGCAGGUUAAUACCCCGCUGUUCUGACGGUACCCAAAGAAUAAGCACCGGCUAACUUCGUG